CUUGAUUUCAUAUUUUUAUUAUUUUUAUUGAAUGUUCUUUUUCGUAGGAAAGUUGGAGUCUGAAAAAGAGGAUAUCAGAUAUGGAAGAACAGUUAAAGGUUAAAACAGAGCUGAAUAUGGAGAACCAGAGACUGAAGGACGAGAAUGGAGCUUUAAUCCGGGUCAUCACUAAACUGUCCAAGUGAGAUAAGAAGCAGGAAGGAUGAGAAGAAGAGUGACGGAUACCAGAAGCCAUAUCUAUACCUGCAUUCCUCCUACAUUCAUCCUAUCAUCCUAAGUCUUAACUUUGCCUGUUGAGUAACUAACAUUUGCAGGGAUAAAGACACAUUUUACAUCAGAUGUGAAAGCUUAAUGUUACUGUACUGUAUCCAAAGUAGUAGCACCUUCCCUGACAGAAAAUAAAUAUUAUAUAUAUUCAUGAAAAUAUUACAAAAAAAGGCAAAUGCCAACACAACUACUUCAUGCGUUUUUCUUACAUGAACAAAUUGUCCAGGAGUGAGGCAUUUAUAAAACUGCGUGAUCACAUCAAGAAUAUCCCUAGAUACAUAUAUGGACAAAAUAUUGCAGGUAUUUCCACGGAGGUAUUACCAUGGAAACUGCAAUAUUUCUUUUGUCCAUUCCGUAUGCAGACCUUGAAAAUCAGCUCUUAUGUAUCAGGGAAAGUGGAUGAUGGAUGAGCUAAAUUUUUUUUAGGAACGGGGAAGCGUCAUCUCUGAUUUACGAGCUUUAACCUUGAAGUAUGAUGUCACAAAUGACAGGCUUUUCUUCUUAACCGCAAUUUUUAAAAAAAAUCGUUGCGUUGUUGUGGAGCUUUCAGUCACAUCGAGAUCAUACAAAGAUCAUAGUCUUUAUCAGCAGAUGGUGGGAUGCAACUUAACUUUAAACCCCGACUUUAAACUCAACAUGACUAUAAGGUUCUGAUGAAGAUCGUGUUACAUGACCCAAAGCUCCAGAACAGUACAGCAAAAAAAACAUCCCAAUGAAAUAGAGGGAAUUCUAUUUUAUUUAUGUACCGUAUAUCACUUUAAUUUCAUGAUCAUCACGACUCAACACAAAGACCUGUUGUGUUUAUGUUAUUAUGUUAGCUUUAGAAGCACCGCCCUGGCUGUAAUUUAUCUUCUAAUUCAUAUUCAGAAGAUUUAAUGAGUCCCAUUUAUAAUCUUACAUUCACGGGAUCCCUGCCAGACUGAGAUUUAAUUUUCUAUUCUGUUCAUAUUUACUUUGGAUUAUUAUAUAAUCAAAUUAGUCUCUACAGUGUGUUUGCAUAUAUUUUAGAAACACAUACAAUUACAAGCAUAUUACGCAUAAACUCCGAUUAACACAAA
This is a long non-coding RNA of Perca fluviatilis (European perch), 1325 nucleotides long. RefSeq lists it as uncharacterized. The record is from RefSeq and is a predicted model, not a curated record. The transcript has 2 exons. Lineage: Eukaryota; Metazoa; Chordata; Actinopteri; Perciformes; Percidae.